This is a long non-coding RNA of Saccostrea cuccullata (small rock oyster), 476 nucleotides long. RefSeq lists it as uncharacterized. NCBI's taxonomy places the organism in Eukaryota, Metazoa, Mollusca, Bivalvia, Ostreida, Ostreidae. The record is from RefSeq and is a predicted model, not a curated record. The transcript is spliced from 4 exons.
GUAAUGGUUAUUUUGGAGCAAAUUGUUCAAACGUUUGCUCUGGGAACUGUUCUGAUAUAUGCAAUCAUAUUGAUGGGACUUGUUACGUCAAAGCUAGAAUGAUGGAUUCUCCAGGAUGCAAACAAAUUUCAUCAUUGACUACGGCUAGAAAAUGUGAUGACCACUGUUUUUAUGCUAUUGGAAUAUCUAUAUUAGUCAUACUAAACAUUUUAACCUGUACGUUAUGGAUUCGUGAAAGAAGAAAGCAAGUGAAAGUGAAAAGACAGUCCGCUCAUUACAUAACAACUGAAGCAGAAAUGAAAGAAAAGACUUAUGAAUCACAUGAAUAUCAAGAAGUGAAUUCUGUAUCACGUGAUUUUUCGUACCAAAAUCUCUCAUUUGAUACAUGAAACUUUUGAAAAUACAGGGUUUGAUUAGUAUAUUUCAAAUGUAUAAUGGUGUGCCAGGCAGCAGACUACAAUUUUUCGAUCGGCGAA